RNAcentral lists this long non-coding RNA (1444 nucleotides) under Homo sapiens (human). RNAcentral's name for it is "novel transcript". The record is from RNAcentral. Lineage: Eukaryota; Metazoa; Chordata; Mammalia; Primates; Hominidae.
GGUCUUCCAGGAGCGCGCUUGAGCGGACGCUGCCUACCGGUGGCCGGGCGGGAUGUAACCCGCUGCUGAGCUGGCAGCUCUGUGUCGCUAGGCUUCGGCCCGGCCGCCGCCGCACAUAAGCUGCGAGGAGGAGCUUUACGACUUCCCGGUCUUCGGGGCCGGGCGCAGCAAGGGCCAGACUCUGCGCUAGCAGGCGCUGCGCGCCAACCGGCCGGCACCUGUCGCAGAAGGUGCAACCGAUCGCACUGUCGCGCCGAAGCUCCUCAAUGGCCAGCGCCAGCUGCAGCCCCGGCCGCCCACUCGCCUCACCUGAGCCUGGGAGCUUGAAAAAUCACAUUUGAGAAGAGGAUUGGAUCCUAGCCAUAACAUAAAUAUAAGGGUGGAACCAAAGUUUUAAUCAAAGAAGGUGGUGUUCAGUUGCUGCUUACAAUAGUUGAUACCCCAGGAUUUGGAGAUGCAGUGGAUAACAGUAAUUGCUGGCAGCCUGUUAUCAAUUACAUUGAUAUUAAAUUUGAGGACUACCUAAAUGCAGAAUCGCGAGUGAACAGAUGUCAGAUGCCUGGUAACAGGGUGCAGUGUUGUUUAUACUUCAUUGCUCCUUCAGGACAUGGACCAUUACAUAACUGAAGACUCCCACCUUCAGGCAGGAUUGGGUAGUACGUGUUUGUAACUACCUGGCAUUGCCUUUUGUUGAGGAAGGGUAGAUGUCUACCCAAAUGGAAUAUUGAGUAUCAGAGACUUCAAAUGAUAACUUUUGUUUGUUUGGAGAAAAUCUUGAGGACGUGAUCACUGUACAAAAGCAUGGCAAAAUGAGGAAACCACUGACAGGUGAAGAAUUUGCACAAUGGAAAACCACCUUGACCAUCUCAUGACUUUAUACAGGAAUCGGAGACAUCCAAGGCCAUUCCAUUUCUAAAUCACACUUAUCCCUCAAUCAAGUCAGUGACUGGAUCAUCUCCUAAGGUUUCACCUGCUUUGCAUCAGUGAGUUGGACUAUGGAUCAGGUACUGUGCUCAGCAUCAGAAAAUGGGAUGACAAUGAACAGAGUAACAGGACUAUAUUUCUGAAAAAGGAUGAACUUACUGGAAACAGGAUUGCGUGCCUGAAAUAUAUCCAAAUGGAUAUAAAUGUCAACUCAGUUCUGGGCUGGAGAUAUAGAUUUGGAAUGCACCAACAAUGCAGAUGGUAAUCCUGGCAUGCGAGUAGGUGAGAUCAUCCAGGGAGAUGGCCUAUAAUGAGAGCCUACAACAUGUCAGGGCUCAAGCACCUCUUACUGCCUCCUCACUCUGGAACCAAAUGCCUUACUGUUCCUAGGAGAAUGUUAACAGUCCAGACCUUUUUCACUACAUCAACCACGGAUGAUUGGCAUAUAAAAUCCUACUUAACCUUUACAUAACUGCAAUACCAGGAAACAAAUAUGUCAAUAAAAGGAAACAUCAUUCAA